AUUCAGCUGACGAGUUCCAAGUAAGACGAAACGCGUCCUGGAU
Non-coding RNA from Schistosoma mattheei, 43 nucleotides. The record is from Rfam. Lineage: Eukaryota; Metazoa; Platyhelminthes; Trematoda; Strigeidida; Schistosomatidae.